RNAcentral lists this ribosomal RNA (253 nucleotides) under uncultured bacterium. RNAcentral's name for it is "partial 16S ribosomal RNA". It matches the Rfam family "Bacterial small subunit ribosomal RNA", at positions 524 to 776 of the family's 1533-position model. The record is from RNAcentral.
GACGGAGGGGGCUAGCGUUGUUCGGAAUGACUGGGCGUAAAGGGCGCGUAGGCGGUUUUCUAAGUGAGGCGUGAAAGCCCUGGGCUUAACCCAGGAGGUGCGUUCCAUACUGGAAAGCUUGAGUGCGAGAGAGGAAAGCGGAAUUCCUAGUGUAGAGGUGAAAUUCGUAGAUAUUAGGAAGAACACCAGUGGCGAAGGCGGCUUUCUGGCUCGUAACUGACGCUGAGGCGCGAAAGCAAGGGGAUCAAACAGG